RNAcentral lists this ribosomal RNA (253 nucleotides) under uncultured bacterium. Its description in RNAcentral is "partial 16S ribosomal RNA". It matches the Rfam family "Bacterial small subunit ribosomal RNA", at positions 524 to 776 of the family's 1533-position model. The record is from RNAcentral.
GACGAACCGUGCGAACGUUAUUCGGAUUCACUGGGCUUAAAGGGUGCGUAGGCGGGUUUCCAAGUCGGGGGUGAAAUCUUUCGGCCCAACCGGAAAAGGGCCUCCGAUACUGGGAACCUCGAGGGGGAUAGGGGCGCGUGGAACUCAGGGUGGAGCGGUGAAAUGCGUAGAUAUCCUGAGGAACGCCGGUGGCGAAAGCGGCGCGCUGGAUCCCUUCUGACGCUGAGGCACGAAAGCCAGGGGAGCAAACGGG